GAGUGAUGGAGUUAAGGAGUAAUGGAGUUAAGACAAAUGGUUGGAGGGAAGAAAAUGUCCCAAUAGCCUAUUGUCUUAACUCCAUCACUCCUUAACUCCCUAACUC
Molecule: microRNA precursor, 106 nt
Filed under: Prevotella dentalis DSM 3688
Lineage: Bacteria; Pseudomonadati; Bacteroidota; Bacteroidia; Bacteroidales; Prevotellaceae
Description: MIR533
Source: RNAcentral